UUAGCUUGCUAAUCUUGAUGGCGACCGCGCACGGGUGAGUAACGCGUAUCCAACCUUCCCCUUAGUAGGGCAUAGCCCGGCGAAAGUCGGAUUAAUACCCUAUGUUCUUCGUAGAGGACAUCUGAAAUGAAGCAAAGAUUUAUCGCUAGGGAUGGGGAUGCGUCUGAUUAGGUAGUCGGCGGGGUAACGGCCCACCGAGCCUGCGAUCAGUAGGGGGUUCUGAGAGGAAGGUCCCCCACAUUGGAACUGAGACACGGUCCAAACUCCUACGGGAGGCAGCAGUGAGGAAUAUUGGUCAAUGGGCGCGAGCCUGAACCAGCCAAGUAGCGUGCAAGGAUGACGGCCCUAUGGGUUGUAAACUGCUUUUAUGCGGGGAUAAAGUGCACCACGUGUGGUGUUUUGUAGGUACCGCAUGAAUAAGGACCGGCUAAUUCCGUGCCAGCAGCAGC
RNAcentral lists this ribosomal RNA (449 nucleotides) under uncultured bacterium. Its description in RNAcentral is "bacterial SSU rRNA". It matches the Rfam family "Bacterial small subunit ribosomal RNA", at positions 75 to 518 of the family's 1533-position model. The record is from RNAcentral.